CCACCUCCUCUUCUGUCUCUUCUGUUUUCCCUUUAUACUUUCAUUCCAUGUACCAAAAUGAAAUACUCCAAUUUUUUUUUCCUCCUUUCUUCCCUAGCUACUGGAGACACAUUCACUCUUCUGUUUGGUGAUCAAGGGAUUAUCAGUGUUUAGGGUUACAUGAGGUUCUACAUGCCCUAUUGAUGAGAACUGCAGUACCAACAUAGUAAAAUUCAUGAGAAAAAAAUCCAGUCAGUAUUAUGUGAUGCUAAACUAUGCCAGCUUCAGAACAUAUUUCCCUUUUAAAUAAAUAGUCCUCAUAUUGUGAACAUGAUUUCUACAGCUUGCUCUAAGGAGACGUUUUCUCCAGGGCAAGCUAGAAUCCAUAUGAAUAUUUUAUAUAUAACUUACAGAAUUAAGAACAUCACUCAGUAGUUCUCCAGAAUUUUAGAGUAAUUGAGGUCAACAUGGAAUCCUCUGGAUGAGGGAAUCUACCCACAAGCAGGAAAAUGCAACAGAAAAUAAAUGAAGAAACAUGGUUCAUCGGACAGUGAAAAUCAAUGAUGGGGAAAUGGACCAUUUUUGCCUCAGACAUUUUUCACUGCUCACUGAGUCCAGUUCACCUGCUUGUGGUUGUUAACUUGGCAAUUCUUCUACUUUGGAACUAUGCCAAAAUUCUCUCUUCAAAGAAGAAAAAUAAGAGGCAUAAAUAUUGGCUUGAAAUACGAUAGAAUGCAAGAACUUUUGCUUUGGCAGUAGAACAGUUUUAUAAGAAUUGAGGCUAAUUUCAUAAUCUUUAGCAAUGCAGAUAUGUAUCUUUAGUCUCAUGAAGAUUGUAAUUCCUUGCCAAGGUUCAUGGUGGAUUCUAUUAACAGACUGAAAAUAUUCAGCAUCUACACAAAGAGACAGAUCUGUUCGUAGACAACUAAAUCUUAUUAAGAGAAGAAAUUUGAACCCUUUAACCAGCAGUGGGCCUCUACCUACGGUCUAAUGCGACCUGGUGGCAUUGAACUUGGACGCAAUAACCUGAGUAAGACUUCUAAGAAAAAGUACAGUUGACACUUGAACAAUACAGAUUUGAACCGCGUGGAUCCAUUUACAGAUCGAUUUCCUCCCAAGUCAGCAACCCCUCAGAAAGCAAGACCAGCCCCUCCUUUUCCUCCUCCUCCUCAGCUUACUCAACGUGAAGACAAAGACGAUGAAGACCUUUAUGAGGAUCCACUUUCACUUAAU
Molecule: long non-coding RNA, 1212 nt
Filed under: Homo sapiens (human)
Lineage: Eukaryota; Metazoa; Chordata; Mammalia; Primates; Hominidae
Description: HSALNT0323882
Source: RNAcentral